CAGGGAGGCAAUAACUCGCUUGUGGCGUCUAAGGAAUUUAUUCUUGGCCGCAAUCCUGUCACUUUAAGGUCGAUCGGUACGUCAGAUUUUAGAAUUCAUUUUAUAAUUAAUUCGUUCAUGUCAGUUCCUAAACUUGUCUAGGUCACACCCAACAAAGGUGUCUCGUGGCCCAUUAGCUCAGGUGGUUAGAGCGCACCCCUGAUAAGGGUGAGGUCCUUGGUUCAAGUCCAGGAUGGCCCAUUCGGUGUUGGGGGUUUAGCUCAGUUGGUAGAGCGCCUGCUUUGCAAGCAGGAUGUCAGCGGUUCGAGUCCGCUAACCUCCACUGACGAAUCUUCUGACAACGAGCCAAUGGUGAGAAUCGUUGUGUGAUGUGAUUUAGGAUUUAAGUUUGCUGGCAGACCCUAGCUUCUUAUCAUUCCAGGUCUCAAUCAAUUGAGAUGAGGUUGAUAGGACGCUGGGCUCACUGUAAUUCGCAAGAAUUGCAGAGAUGUUCAGCAGAACCUUGACAACUGCAUAGGUAAGUCUGGAAAGAAUAAAGCAUCUCAUGGAUGCAUGAUUCUUGGGAAUCAGCUAAUGCAAUCUGCGUCAGUAGAGGGCUGAGGUUGAUGAACGAGAAUAAUGUUUGAUUCUUGAGUCAAGAGCCGAGACUCUAUAGCGUUCUUUCGAUGUCAUCGAGGCAUCGAGAGUUUGAUUGGUCAUUCAAACCAUCUUCAAUGACAAAUAAUUCAGUUUAACUGGAGAAGUUUGAGAUUGAAGCCAGGUGAAUUGCUAAGAAUACGUAUUCAACUACGUGAAGCGUUAUAGAGAUUAAUU
RNAcentral lists this transfer RNA (813 nucleotides) under uncultured cyanobacterium. RNAcentral describes it as "partial 16S-23S ribosomal RNA intergenic spacer". The stretch from base 250 to 322 matches the Rfam family "tRNA". Lineage: Bacteria; Bacillati; Cyanobacteriota. The record is from RNAcentral.